Molecule: long non-coding RNA, 465 nt
Organism: Chlorocebus sabaeus (green monkey)
Lineage: Eukaryota; Metazoa; Chordata; Mammalia; Primates; Cercopithecidae
Source: RefSeq, a predicted model, not a curated record
AGAGCUGACCCUACUAGAAAAUAAGAUUGUACACGACUGGGUGAAGAAUUCCAUUGAGCUGCCUCCAGUCUUUUCUAGCCAUGGAAUGGAAGCAUGAACUUACAAAACAGGCCAUUGUGGACCAUCCUGGAUUUUGAAAAUGCUGGAAAGAGUCAGUGGAUGGAAGCUCUCUAAACCUUUGGACUGAUCUGUGUACAGCAUUGGUUUCUUGGCCUCCUGGAAAUCUGAGAAGUUUGCAUGUGAUGGGGAGGUUUGUAUCCUGCUUCCUUGGUUGAGCCCACUGGUCUAUCACAACCAUGAUGCUUCUGCCUGGAGGAAUGCAAAUACCACCUGGGUAAAGAUAAUAGGAUUGAGCACGACGACUCAUGCCUGUAAUCCCAGCACUUUGGGAGGCCCAAGCAGGUGAACUGCUUGAGCCCAGGAGUUCGAGGCCAGUCUGGGCAACAUGGCAAAACCCUGUCUCUA